Molecule: long non-coding RNA, 177 nt
Organism: Spea bombifrons (plains spadefoot toad)
Lineage: Eukaryota; Metazoa; Chordata; Amphibia; Anura; Pelobatidae
Exons: 2
Source: RefSeq, a predicted model, not a curated record
CAUUCUAGAUCAGUGGUUCUUAACCUUGUUGGAGGUACUGACCCCCACCAGUUUCAUAUGCGCAUUCACUGAACCCUUCUUAAUUUGAAAAAUAAAAUAUGAUUUAUUCAAAUUCAAAACAUAGGUAUAUUUUUAUACAUAGGUGCACAAAAUGAACAAAACCAUUAAAGAACAAAA